UCUACAUUGAAUAGAUUUAGAGAUAAGUUCACAUUUUGUAUCUCAGUUAUAGUCAUUAGCGUAGAGUCACUUUUAUCUAAAUACGAGUAUGGAUCUCUAGGCAAAGACUAAAAAAUAACAGAGUUAAUCGAAUAUAUAUGAUUUAUCUUGUUGUACAUGAUUUAUCUAAUAUAUGUUCAGAAUUGAAACACAAUGGUUUAUCAAAAUCAAGAAACCCGGGUGCUGCCUUUCUGGUAAACAUGUAUUCAAGAUGCAUUGAAAUAAAAUGUGGCACGGUAAUAAGUUGUGUAAUUACAUUUGAAAACUGUGUACAAAAUUUGAUAUCUCUAUUUCAAAAAUUAAUGACUUUUUACUGACAUCAUGUCUGCCCAGAGAUCAUUAUUGUCAAUAAAAAGUCAAUGAUUACUAAAAUAGAGAUGUGUAAAUUUGCAUACAUGUUUUAAAAGCAAAUUUACAACUAAUUACCAUGAUACAUUUUAUUUUAAUGCAAUCUACAUAUAUGCUUACCUGAAAAGCCACACCCGGCUUUUUUCUUUUUUCUUCUGAGGUACUUCGACAGGUUCAGCUCACCGUACUCACCAAUAUAGUUGGAAUAGCAAAAACACCAUCAGAAGCGCAGCCAGGAAUAUGCGUCAAAAUUAGGAUUAUCUUUAUAGAUAAGUAUAUUAUCUAGCGUUUAUAAUUUAUUCAAUUACAAAUUUAAAUCUGUUUUAUAUUUAUUUGCAGCGGCAGCAGCAAAGUCAACAAUAAUAACAAGGAAGUGUGCCGAUUGUUCUCCUCGCCUCCAGGAGUCGUCCAAUUUUCAACUGCUUUAUUAUUAUUUAAUAUUGUUCGUUUAUUAAUAUUAUUAUUAUUCUUGUUAUCAUUAUAUUAGAUUGAUCAAAGCUCAAAAA
Molecule: long non-coding RNA, 893 nt
Organism: Nasonia vitripennis (jewel wasp)
Lineage: Eukaryota; Metazoa; Arthropoda; Insecta; Hymenoptera; Pteromalidae
Exons: 2
Source: RefSeq, a predicted model, not a curated record